CUUAAAGACAAAGGGGUUAAUUGUGAUCUGACUUGUGCUUUAUGCAAUAUGGUGGAGGAAGACAGUUUUCACCUUUUCUUUCGUUGCCCUGGUAGCUGCAAUAUUUGGAGCAUGUGUGAUUUCUUUAGUACUGCGAAUAAUGUGAUAAAUCAAGGCCAGGAUAGUGCAAGUGUUAUUUUCCAAUUGUUGCAGGUGUUAAAUGGUGAUGAGGCAACGUUGUUCUGCUGCAUUCUUUGGAGUAUUUGGAAGCAACGGAACAACAAGGUCUGGAAUGAUGUGAUUGAAGCGCAGGU
Molecule: long non-coding RNA, 293 nt
Filed under: Medicago truncatula (barrel medic)
Lineage: Eukaryota; Viridiplantae; Streptophyta; Magnoliopsida; Fabales; Fabaceae
Description: long non-coding RNA (MTRU_LNC001097)
Source: RNAcentral